Gopherus evgoodei (Goodes thornscrub tortoise) is the source of this 594-nucleotide long non-coding RNA. RefSeq lists it as uncharacterized. Lineage: Eukaryota; Metazoa; Chordata; Testudines; Testudinidae. The transcript is spliced from 4 exons. The record is from RefSeq and is a predicted model, not a curated record.
CGGCGAGUGGGAUUGACAUCACCUGGCCACAGAGAACGUCCCUAGUCUGUUAUUGAGUUCCCAGCUGACCUUCAGCCAUGAAGAUCCUUUAUCUGCUCUUUGCUGUUUUCUUUCUGGUGCUUCAGGGCAUGCCAGAAUUCUCUGAGGCUCAGGAUCCCUUCAAGCUCUGUAAAUACCGAGGGGGUACCUGCUCCUAUAAGAGAUGUUCUUUCAAUUCUAAAGUCGUUGGCAUAUGUGGUGGACGCUUUUUGUGCUGUCGCAGGCGAUUUUUUGACUAAUUGUUUAGGCAGGAUCUCUGGGAAUCCGGCAGCCAGACACUUGUUUCUAAAUUCAUCAGAUCCUGCUUCAAUGGAACCCUGCGGUGGCAUUCAUUUGGACUGGAAAGAACCUCCUGAGCUGGAGAAAUUCCAGAAGGGAGCCUUGUAUCACCCCUAUAAGAUUUGUAACUCUCCUUUUAACAAAAAAAACAUUUGGUUUGAAAUAAUCUUGCUGGUGUGUCGAUGGGAGGCAAGGGGGUCUGUUUCUAUCAUUUGUCAUCCUUACAAAUCCAUCUUGUUUAAUGUUUUAAAAUUUAAAAUAAAAUACCCUGAAAAC